AAUAAAAUGGCUGAGGGAUAAGCGAUAAAUUGUAAAUUUAUUAACGAAAUUUUAAUUUCUUUUAUUA
This 67-nucleotide transfer RNA is filed under the name Helictopleurus quadripunctatus. RNAcentral describes it as "tRNA-Tyr". It matches the Rfam family "tRNA". From Rfam's summary of the family: Transfer RNA (tRNA) molecules are approximately 80 nucleotides in length. Lineage: Eukaryota; Metazoa; Arthropoda; Insecta; Coleoptera; Scarabaeidae. The record is from RNAcentral.